GACGAACGCUGGCGGCGUGCUUAACACAUGCAAGUCGAACGGAAAGGCCCUGCUUGCAGGGUACUCGAGUGGCGAACGGGUGAGUAACACGUGGGUGAUCUGCCCUGCACUUCGGGAUAAGCCUGGGAAACUGGGUCUAAUACCGGAUAGGAGCCAUUUUUAGUGUGAUGGUUGGAAAGUUUUUUCGGUGUAGGAUGAGCUCGCGGCCUAUCAGCUUGUUGGUGGGGUAAUGGCCUACCAAGGCGGCGACGGGUAGCCGGCCUGAGAGGGUGGACGGCCACAUUGGGACUGAGAGACGGCCCAGACUCCGACGGGAGGCAGCAGGGGGGAAUAUUGCACAAUGGGCGCAAGCCUGAUGCAGCGACGCCGCGUGGGGGAUGACGGCCUUCGGGUUGGAAACUCCUUUCGCUAGGGACGAAGCUUUUUGUGACGGUACCUAGAUAAGAAGCACCGGCUAACUACGUG
Molecule: ribosomal RNA, 465 nt
Filed under: uncultured bacterium
Lineage: Bacteria
Description: partial 16S ribosomal RNA
Rfam family: Bacterial small subunit ribosomal RNA
Source: RNAcentral